This 542-nucleotide ribosomal RNA is filed under the name [Setosphaeria] turcica f. sp. sorghi. RNAcentral's name for it is "eukaryotic LSU rRNA". The stretch from base 172 to 325 matches the Rfam family "5.8S ribosomal RNA". The record is from RNAcentral. Lineage: Eukaryota; Fungi; Ascomycota; Dothideomycetes; Pleosporales; Pleosporaceae.
GGGGCUCAGAUUGUACGGUAGGGUACUGGCAACAGUGCUCUGCUGAAAUAUUUUCACCCAUGUCUUUUGCGCACUUUUUGUUUCCUGGGCGAGUUUGCUCGCCACCAGGACCCCCAUAUGAACCUUUUUUGUUUUUGCACUCAGCGUCAGUACAAUAAUUUAAUCUAUUAAAACUUUCAACAACGGAUCUCUUGGUUCUGGCAUCGAUGAAGAACGCAGCGAAAUGCGAUACGUAGUGUGAAUUGCAGAAUUCAGUGAAUCAUCGAAUCUUUGAACGCACAUUGCGCCCUUUGGUAUUCCAAAGGGCAUGCCUGUUCGAGCGUCAUUUGUACCCUCAAGCUUUGCUUGGUGUUGGGCGUCUUAUUGUCUCUCCGUCUCGGGGAGACUCGCCUUAAAACAAUUGGCAGCCGGCCUACUGGUUUCGGAGCGCAGCACAAAUUUGCGCUUGCAAUCAGCCAAGGGCGGCAUCCAUGAAGCCUUUUUUCUCUCACAUUUUGACCUCGGAUCAGGUAGGGAUACCCGCUGAACUUAAGCAUAUCAAA